RNAcentral lists this long non-coding RNA (219 nucleotides) under Mytilus galloprovincialis (Mediterranean mussel). Lineage: Eukaryota; Metazoa; Mollusca; Bivalvia; Mytilida; Mytilidae. The record is from RNAcentral.
UAUAAAAAUUUAAGAUAAUAGAACAACGUAUGUGAUUGAUAACUUUCAAACUUUAUGGUAUCUUAAUAUCUGUAGUUGAAAAUUAGAAUUUUUCUGAACAAAAACCUAUCGCAUCGUUUGCCUCUACUUUCGAAAUUCUGUUUUUUGUUAAAGACAAUAAGCUCAAUGACAAUUGUAGUAUGUAAGACAUUUUAUGAUAUUCUUUUGUGGAGUAAAUAA